This 2770-nucleotide long non-coding RNA is filed under the name Chlamydomonas reinhardtii. Its description in RNAcentral is "long non-coding RNA (CREI_LNC001240)". Lineage: Eukaryota; Viridiplantae; Chlorophyta; Chlorophyceae; Chlamydomonadales; Chlamydomonadaceae. The record is from RNAcentral.
UGCUAUGCCAGCUUAUCUGCUGGCUGCAGGAGCGCCCCCUGCCAGCUUUGCCAUGCCUAUGACAACCACUGGCGCCCGCAGAAGCCGCCCGGCCUGCCCAAGGCACCGAAGCUCGUUGCCCCGACCAAGCCCGCCACCGCUGCAAGCUCCAUCUCUACCUCCACCGUCGCCCACAUCUCGACCUCGCCGCGAUGGGGCGAUGAGGAUGAGGACGAGGCUGACGGACUCGACCUGAGCGACCUCUUUGAGCAGACGCCCUGGGUGAAGCAGGGACUGGCGGAGCUGGCCGCGGCCGAGCAGCAGCAGGCGGAAGCCGCGGCGGCCGCGCCCGCGGCAGCGUCAGAGUCUGGCGGCAGCAGCAGCAGCAGCAGUAUUGCCCCUCGCACCAGCAUUAGCAGCAGCGGUGGCGCGAGCAGUAGCUGGGCGGACGAGGUUGAGGCUCAUGAGGAGGCGGAGGAGGAGCUCGACCUUGGGUCGCUCGCCGACUGGAUGAAGGAGGGCCUGGCGGAGCAGGCGGCGGCGGCGGCGGCAGCUGCCAGCGGCACCAGCGGCAACCCCAGCGGCCGCCGCUGGGCGGAUGAAGUUGAGGAGGAGGAGGACGGCGAUUUCGGCGCCUACCUCGCCUCGCUGUCGCCCUGGAUGGCAGAGGAGAUGGCGGCGAUGGCGGAAGCAGAGGCCGAGGGGGAGUGCGUGCUGGCGGCGGCCGAGGAGGAGCAGGAGGAGGCCGUCGUCACUGAGCGGGAGGACGCGCCUGACUCGCCGCUUAGCUCGUGCUGCUGCGCCGUGCCGGACAGCGCCCGCACCAGCCGCACCGCCAGCAGUUGCAGCCUGCUCUCGGUUGCGGCGGCCGCAGGCAGUGAGGCGCCGCAGCANNNNNNNNNNNNNNNNNNNNNNNNNNNNNNNNNNNNNNNNNNNNNNNNNNNNNNNNNNNNNNNNNNNNNNNNNNNNNNNNNNNNNNNNNNNNNNNNNNNNCGUAUCAGGCGGGCCCGCGAGUAGCCCAUCUGCGUCAGGGCGGCAAUGAGGUUGGCGGAUUCGAACACAAAAUUCUCCACUUCCAUGACGACACGCCGCAGCCGGUGGAACUGGCCGGUGAAGAUAUUGCGUUUGCUGGCCUCAUUGACGUUGUAACUGUAAUGCACUGGCCGCAUGCCGUGUCACCGCCGUGCGCCUACCUCACCUACGCUUUGGGGCCUCUACAACAACAGGUUUAGCAGCAAACUUGCUAGAUCCUAACGUUUGCCGCCGCGUACCCGGUAUUGCACAUCGGCACCCGCUGGAUCACCGCCAACCUACGCCAAUUUCCACAGCCGUCAAUCUCAUCCUGCACGGCUGCAUCCCUGGCGGCGGCGGGAUCAGGGGUUACCGGCCUACGCAGGGCAGAGGGACUGGUAUGAAACGAGGAAAUGAAACAGCGGGACACGGAUGGCGCAGGUCCAGGAACAAGGUGAAGGCGAGGAGGGAGGCUCGGGAUUGGGCGCGUGUCGCCUGCAUGGGCGCCGAGCCUCUGUCCCCAUCACCGGAUAAAAGCAUCGCACUCAUUCUGCACAUUCAAUAGAUGCAAAGACAUCUGGCAAACAGCUCUGACGAUCACUCCUUAACAACGAGCACCUGAGCUUAUCGACGGCAAAAAGAAGAGCAUUUCUAGGGCUCUUCGCGACCACUCUCGAUUCUCACCGCAUGCGCCUGAUAUCUGUAGCAAGUACCACCACUGUCACGGAUUAGCAGCUUCUAGCGCGAAUCCGUCCCGGGCACAGCGGGGAGACUCCAUCAAGCGAAAGAGUUGCGCUAGCAGCACGAUCGAGUUCUGCACACCGAGAGUGCUUGGUGCGGUCAAGAGCUACUAUGGCCACAUCACGGUCAAGCGCAAGUGCACCGGGGCUUGACUUUGAGCCGAGCCGACCGUUGCAGGUGAGCACCAUUCUCGUUCGGGCAGGGCCAUUUUGAGCCUUGAGCAGCUGCAAUAGGUAUCAGAUACCACAUGCAAAACAUUAGGCUUCUGAUGCGGGCUAGAUAGCGUUGCAAGUUUCGGGCCAGUAGUGCGCUCGGCUUCCUCGGCCCUCCUUGCUCUGCUGCGGCCACACUAGCUGCAUACUAUUGCUGCAUGUAUUGUCUCGUAAAAUGCGGUCGGUCAACAGCUUUGACCGAAAGCGCGUGCCUUUCCGGUGUGCCCGACUUUCUUGCCUGAGCCCCCGACCUCCAGCCCGCACCUCCUCGACCCCCUCCCGCUCUCUGCGCCCCGAGCCUUGUCCUCGUCCCGUGCACUCACGGCUUGUCCGCCCCCAUCUAUCCUUUCCCCCCGAUCUCGCUCGCACAGGACGCCUGGCGCCACACGCCCCGCAACGGCUCUGAUGAGAGCGAGCCCUACGCCAACGCCCACCAGCAGGAGCAGCAGGAGCCCGCCCCCAGCGCCUGCUGCUUCCCCCACAAGUCCUGCAUGCGCUGGUGCUAUGCCAGCUUAUCUGCUGGCUGCAGGAGCGCCCCCUGCCAGCUUUGCCAUGCCUAUGACAACCACCGGCGCCCGCAGAAGCCGCCCGGCCUGCCCAAGGCGCCGAAGCUCGCGGCCCCGACCAACCCCGCCGCCGCUGCAAGUUCCAUCUCUACCUCCACCGUCGCCCGUAUCUCGACGUCGCCGCGAUGGGGCGAUGAGGAUGAGGACGAGGCUGAUGGACUCGACCUGAGCGACCUCUUUGAGCAGACGCCCUGGGUGAAGCAGGGACUGGCGGAGCUGGCCGCGGCCGAGCAGCAGCAGGCGGAAGCCGCGGCGGCCGCG